UACGUAGGCAGCAAGCGUUGUUCGGAGUUACUGGGCGUAAAGAGUGCGUAGGCGGUUCUCUAAGUUUGAUGUGAAAUCUCCCGGCUCAACUGGGGGGGUGCGCCGAAAACUGGAGGGCUUGAGGGUGGGAGAGGCAAGCGGAAUUCCUGGUGUAGCGGUGAAAUGCGUAGAUAUCAGGAGGAACACCUGUGGUGUAGACAGCUUGCUGGACCAUUACUGACGCUGAGGCACGAAAGCGUGGGUAGCAAACAGG
RNAcentral lists this ribosomal RNA (253 nucleotides) under uncultured prokaryote. RNAcentral describes it as "partial 16S ribosomal RNA". It matches the Rfam family "Bacterial small subunit ribosomal RNA", at positions 524 to 776 of the family's 1533-position model. The record is from RNAcentral.